Pelobates cultripes (western spadefoot toad) is the source of this 210-nucleotide non-coding RNA. The record is from the annotation of a GenBank genome assembly. Lineage: Eukaryota; Metazoa; Chordata; Amphibia; Anura; Pelobatidae.
GCCAGCCUCACACACUGCGCACGCGCCCAGCCCAGCCUCACACACUGCAAACAUGCUCAGCCUCACACACUGCGCAGGUGCCCAGCCCAGCCUCACACACUGCGCACGCGCCCAUCCCAGCCUCACACACUGCGCACGCGCCCAGCCUCACACACUGCGCACACGCUCAGCCCAGACUCACACACUGCGCACGUGCCCAGCCAGCCUCAC